This 255-nucleotide ribosomal RNA is filed under the name uncultured bacterium. RNAcentral's name for it is "partial 16S ribosomal RNA". It matches the Rfam family "Bacterial small subunit ribosomal RNA", at positions 524 to 776 of the family's 1533-position model. The record is from RNAcentral.
UACGUAGGUGGCAAGCGUUGUCCGGAAUUAUUGGGCGUAAAGCGCGCGCAGGCGGUCUCUUAAGUCUGAUGUGAAAGCCCACGGCUCAACCGUGGAGGGUCAUUGGAAACUGGGAAACUUGAGUGCAGAAGAGAAGAGCGGAAUUCCACGUGUAGCGGUGAAAUGCGUAGAUAUCAAGUGGAACACCAGUGGCGAAGGCGAGUCCCUGGAAAACUCCUGACACUGAGGCACGAAAAGCUAGGGGAGCAAAACAGG